AAUUCGUUGCUACACGAAGAACCUUACCUGGGUUUGACAUAUAGGUUGUAGGGAACUGAAAAGGGACCGACCCUUCGGGAGCCUAUACAGGUGUUGCAUGGCUGUCGUCAGCUCGUGUCGUGAGAUGUUCGGUUAAGUCCGCUAACGAGCGCAACCCUCGUCGUAUGUUAUAUGUGUCAUACGAGACUGCCGGUAAAAGCCGGAGGAAGGUGAGGAUGAUGUCAAGUCAGCAUGACCUCUAUAUCCAGGGCUACACACACGCUACAAUGGUCUGUACAAUGGGUAGCCAAGCCGCGAGGCGGAGCCAAUCCUGAAAGCAGGCCUCAGUUCAGAUUGCAGUCUGCAACUCGACUGCAUGAAGCCGGAGUUGCUAGUAACCGCAGGUCAGCAAUACUGCGGUGAAUACGUUCCCGGGUCUU
Molecule: ribosomal RNA, 419 nt
Filed under: uncultured Anaerolineaceae bacterium
Lineage: Bacteria; Bacillati; Chloroflexota; Anaerolineae; Anaerolineales; Anaerolineaceae
Description: bacterial SSU rRNA
Rfam family: Bacterial small subunit ribosomal RNA
Source: RNAcentral